Long non-coding RNA from Lathyrus oleraceus (garden pea), 1023 nucleotides. RefSeq lists it as uncharacterized. Lineage: Eukaryota; Viridiplantae; Streptophyta; Magnoliopsida; Fabales; Fabaceae. The transcript is spliced from 2 exons. The record is from RefSeq and is a predicted model, not a curated record.
CUUCAGAUCGUACCUUCAAAAAUUUCCCAGAAUGAGCAAUUGUGGUUGUGAGACCUCACAGACCAACUGAACCCGCCAUGGAGGUUGCGCCGGUGAGGAGCGAUUGAAGGUCGAUUGUGGCCGGCGGAGAAACUGUGGUUUUGUGAGGGUGCUCGUUGGAGGUAGAAAAUGAGGGUGUGGAGCGUGUGGGUUCGCGGUCGAAGGAGGAGAAGAUGUGCGUAUUUGGAGGUUUGGAAGGAUUCGUUGGAAGGAGAAGAAGAUGAAGCUGAGUUUGAUGCGUCCCGUCUCCAGAUAAGCCUCCUUCUUCUGUUUCGUUUUUUUUAGGGUUUUGAAAAAAAGCUUUGCUGUGUUUAUAAUUGCUAUGUUUACUGUUGUGUUUUUUUAGUUUCUUUUGAAAGAAUCUCUUACUGUGAUGUGUAUCUCUUGUUGUGUUUUCUAUUGUUGUUUUGGUUUCUGUUUUUUUUAAUGUCUCUUACUGUGAUCUGUUGUUCUUAACGCCUCAUGAACCUUUUAUGAAGAAUUUUUAUCAGUUUUUUUUAACUCCUUUCUUUUUCGAUUUUCCCAUCCUAGAUUAUAUGGGAUUUAAUUUCUGUGGAUUUGUUCUGUUUUAAGUUAUUAUUGCAAUGCCUUUUUGGAUGUUCAAGUUAACCUGCUGGGUAAAGUUUCAAACUGAGUAAUUUGUUUAGUUAUUUUUUAGUGCUUUUAAAAAGUGCUUUUUAUUUAAGCUGUUUUUUCUCUCUGCAGGUUACAACGUGAAGUGACUUGAUGGAAUGGAAGGUUGGAUCCACUCUAUGAGGCAAUUGGAUUUAGGAGCGUUUUGGCCUGAAGAAAGGUUUUGGCCGUUGGUUCUUCAAAAGCUUUGUUCUCAACCUGUCAUUGUUGCAACAACUUUUAUUUGGAUUUGUAUUGUGGAUAAUUAUGCAACUGUUCUUGAAUGGUUUGUAACGUGUGAAGUUUUUUUUAAAAAAAAUGUUUAUGUAAUUAAUUUUCUUUUUGUUUAAAAACAACUAAAUUUUAUUUUAA